UGGGGAAUUUUGGACAAUGGGCGCAAGCCUGAUCCAGCCAUGCCGCGUGCAGGAUGAAGGCCUUCGGGUUGUAAACUGCUUUUGUACGGAACGAAAAGACUCCUUCUAAUAAAGGGGGUCCAUGACGGUACCGUAAGAAUAAGCACCGGCUAACUACGUGCCAGCAGCCGCGGUAAUACGUAGGGUGCGAGCGUUAAUCGGAAUUACUGGGCGUAAAGCGUGCACAGGCGGUUAUAUAAGACAGGUGUGAAAUCCCCGGGCUCAACCUGGGAACUGCAUUUGUGACUGUAUAGCUAGAGUACGGCAGAGGGGGAUGGAAUUCCGCGUGUAGCAGUGAAAUGCGUAGAUAUGCGGAGGAACACCGAUGGCGAAGGCAAUCCCCUGGGCCUGUACUGACGCUCAUGAACGAAAGCGUGGGGAGCAAACA
RNAcentral lists this ribosomal RNA (427 nucleotides) under uncultured bacterium. RNAcentral describes it as "bacterial SSU rRNA". It matches the Rfam family "Bacterial small subunit ribosomal RNA", at positions 355 to 774 of the family's 1533-position model. The record is from RNAcentral.